AGAGUUUGAUCAUGGCUCAGAUUGAACGCUGGCGGCAGGCCUAACACAUGCAAGUCGAGCGGUAGCACAGAGAGCUUGCUCUCGGGUGACGAGCGGCGGACGGGUGAGUAAUGUCUGGGAAACUGCCUGAUGGAGGGGGAUAACUACUGGAAACGGUAGCUAAUACCGCAUAACGUCGCAAGACCAAAGUGGGGGACCUUCGGGCCUCAUGCCAUCAGAUGUGCCCAGAUGGGAUUAGCUGGUAGGUGGGGUAACGGCUCACCUAGGCGACGAUCCCUAGCUGGUCUGAGAGGAUGACCAGCCACACUGGAACUGAGACACGGUCCAGACUCCUACGGGAGGCAGCAGUGGGGAAUAUUGCACAAUGGGCGCAAGCCUGAUGCAGCCAUGCCGCGUGUGUGAAGAAGGCCUUCGGGUUGUAAAGCACUUUCAGCGGGGAGGAAGGCGGUGAGGUUAAUAACCUCAUCGAUUGACGUUACCCGCAGAAGAAGCACCGGCUAACUCCGUGCCAGCAGCCGCGGUAAUACGGAGGGUGCAAGCGUUAAUCGGAAUUACUGGGCGUAAAGCGCACGCAGGCGGUCUGUCAAGUCGGAUGUGAAAUCCCCGGGCUCAACCUGGGAACUGCAUUCGAAACUGGCAGGCUAGAGUCUUGUAGAGGGGGGUAGAAUUCCAGGUGUAGCGGUGAAAUGCGUAGAGAUCUGGAGGAAUACCGGUGGCGAAGGCGGCCCCCUGGACAAAGACUGACGCUCAGGUGCGAAAGCGUGGGGAGCAAACAGGAUUAGAUACCCUGGUAGUCCACGCUGUAAACGAUGUCGAUUUGGAGGUUGUGCCCUUGAGGCGUGGCUUCCGGAGCUAACGCGUUAAAUCGACCGCCUGGGGAGUACGGCCGCAAGGUUAAAACUCAAAUGAAUUGACGGGGGCCCGCACAAGCGGUGGAGCAUGUGGUUUAAUUCGAUGCAACGCGAAGAACCUUACCUGGUCUUGACAUCCACAGAACUUAGCAGAGAUGCUUUGGUGCCUUCGGGAACUGUGAGACAGGUGCUGCAUGGCUGUCGUCAGCUCGUGUUGUGAAAUGUUGGGUUAAGUCCGCAACGAGCGCAACCCUUAUCCUUUGUUGCCAGCGGUUAGGCCGGGAACUCAAAGGAGACUGCCAGUGAUAAACUGGAGGAAGGUGGGGAUGACGUCAAGUCAUCAUGGCCCUUACGACCAGGGCUACACACGUGCUACAAUGGCAUAUACAAAGAGAAGCGACCUCGCGAGAGCAAGCGGACCUCAUAAAGUAUGUCGUAGUCCGGAUUGGAGUCUGCAACUCGACUCCAUGAAGUCGGAAUCGCUAGUAAUCGUAGAUCAGAAUGCUACGGUGAAUACGUUCCCGGGCCUUGUACACACCGCCGUCACACCAUGGGAGUGGGUUGCAAAAGAAGUAGGUAGCUUAACCUUCGGGAGGGCGCUUACCACUUUGUGAUUCAUGACUGGGGUGAAGUCGUAACAAGGUAACCGUAGGGGAACCUGCGGUUGGAUCACCU
This 1526-nucleotide ribosomal RNA is filed under the name Klebsiella variicola. RNAcentral describes it as "bacterial SSU rRNA". It matches the Rfam family "Bacterial small subunit ribosomal RNA". The record is from RNAcentral. Lineage: Bacteria; Pseudomonadati; Pseudomonadota; Gammaproteobacteria; Enterobacterales; Enterobacteriaceae.